This 502-nucleotide ribosomal RNA is filed under the name uncultured bacterium. Its description in RNAcentral is "bacterial SSU rRNA". It matches the Rfam family "Bacterial small subunit ribosomal RNA", at positions 29 to 511 of the family's 1533-position model. The record is from RNAcentral.
AGUGAACGCUGGCGGCGUGCCUAACACAUGCAAGUCGUGCGCGAAAGGGAGCAAUCCUGAGUAAAGCGGCGAACGGGUGAGUAACACGUGGUUAACCUGCCUGGAUGUGGGGGAUACCCCGGGGAAACUCGGGACAAUACCGCAUGAUGUCUCUCGGGCGUCGGCCCGGGAGAGCAAAGCCGGGGACCGCAAGGCCUGGCGCUAGUAGAUGAGCCCGCGUGAGAUUAGCUUGUUGGUGGGGUAAUGGCCUACCAAGGCAACGAUCUCUAGCUGGUCUGAGAGGACGAUCAGCCACACUGGGACUGAGACACGGCCCAGACUCCUACGGGAGGCAGCAGUGGGGAAUAUUGCGCAAUGGGCGAAAGCCUGACGCAGCCAUGCCGCGUGUGUGAAGAAGGCCUUAGGGUUGUAAAGCACUUUCAAUUGGGAAGAAAGUUAGGUCGUUAAUAGCGGCCAGCCCUGACAUUACCUUUAGAAGAAGGACCGGCUAACUCCGUGCCAG